RNAcentral lists this ribosomal RNA (754 nucleotides) under uncultured archaeon. RNAcentral describes it as "bacterial SSU rRNA". It matches the Rfam family "Archaeal small subunit ribosomal RNA", at positions 102 to 859 of the family's 1478-position model. The record is from RNAcentral.
AGGUAACCUACCCUCAGGACUGAGAUAACCCCGGGAAACUGGGGCUAAUAUCAGAUAGAUAAAAGAUACUGGAAUGUUCUUUUAUCCAAAGCUUUUGUGCCUGAGGAUGGGCCUGCGCCCGAUUAGGUUGUUGGUGGGGUAAUGGCCCACCAAGCCUACGAUCGGUACGGGCAGUGGGAGCUGUAGCCCGGAGUUGGGGACUGAGACAAGGCCCCAGGCCCUACGGGGCGCAGCAGGCGCGAAACCUCUGCAAUGCGGGAAACCGUGACAGGGGGAUUCCAAGUGCUCAUGCAUUGCAUGGGCUGUUCUUUGGUCUAAGUAACCAGAGGAGUAAGGGCUGGGCAAGACCGGUGCCAGCCGCCGCGGUAAUACCGGCAGCUCGAGUGGUAGCCGCGAUUAUUGGGCCUAAAACGUUCGUAGCCGGAUAAGUAAGUCUUUGGUUAAAUCCUGCGACUUAACCGUGGGAAAUCUAGAGAUACUGCUUGUCUUGAGACCGGGAGAGGUUGGAGGUACUCCCAGGGUAGGGGUGAAAUCCUGUAAUCCUGGGGGGACCACCUGUGGCGAAGGCGUCCAACUGGAACGGGUCUGACGGUGAGGGACGAAACCUAGGGGAGCGAGCCGGAUUAGAUACCCGGGUAGUCCUAGGCGUAAAUGAUGCGAGUUAAGUGUGGGGGCAUCUACGAGAUGGCCCUGUGCUGUAGGGUAGCCGUUAAACUCGCUGCCUGGGGAGUACGGUCGCAAGGCUGAAACUUAA